GAUGAACGCUGGCGGCGUGCCUAAUACAUGCAAGUCGAGCGGUAAGGCUUUCACAGAUUAUUUGAACUGAAAAGUCCAUCAUUGAUGGAUACUCUCUGACACGAGAUUCAUAGGCUAUGAAUCAAGGUCGAAUAAUGCGUGAAAGUACACGAGCGGCGGACGGCUGAGUAACGCGUAGGAACGUACCCCAAAGUGAGGGAUAAGCCAUCGAAAGAUGGUCUAAUACCGCAUGUGAUCCACGGAUUAAAGCUUCGGCGCUUUGGGAGCGGCCUGCGUAUGAUUAGUUUGUUGGUGAGGUAAAGGCUCACCAAGACUACGAUCAUUAGCUGGUCUGAGAGGAUGAUCAGCCAGACUGGGACUGAGACACGGCCCAG
Molecule: ribosomal RNA, 374 nt
Filed under: uncultured bacterium
Lineage: Bacteria
Description: bacterial SSU rRNA
Rfam family: Bacterial small subunit ribosomal RNA
Source: RNAcentral